AAAAUUUCAAAGGUCGAACAGACCUAAAAUUUCUAGCUUCUACACCAAAAAUUAAUUUUAAUCCAACAUCGAGGUCGCAAUCUUUUUUUUCGAUUAGAACUCUUUAAAAAAAUUACGCUGUUAUCCCUAAGGUAAUUUUUUCUUUUAAUCAUUAACUAUGGAUCAAAUUUUCAUAAAUGAAUGGUUUUAAAUAAAAAAAGUUUAAUUAGUUUUUCAGUCACCCCAACCAAAUAAAAAAUAAACAUUUACUUAAAAAUACCUAACUAUAAAUAUCCAAUUCAUAUAAAACUCUAUAGGGUCUUCUCGUCUUUUAAAAAAAUUUAAGCUUUUUUACUUAAAAAUAAAAUUCUUUUCAAAUAAUUUAGAGACAGUACUUUUUUCAUCCAACCCUUCAUUCCAGCUUUCAAUUAAAAAACUAAUGAUUAUGCUACCUUAGCACGGUCAAAAUACCGCGGCCAUUUAAAUCUUCAGUGGGCAGGCCAGACCUUAAAUUAUUAUCAAAAAGCC
Molecule: ribosomal RNA, 507 nt
Filed under: Thyestilla gebleri
Lineage: Eukaryota; Metazoa; Arthropoda; Insecta; Coleoptera; Cerambycidae
Description: partial 16S ribosomal RNA
Source: RNAcentral